AACGAACGCUGGCGGCAUGCCUAACACAUGCAAGUCGAACGAGACCUUCGGGCCUAGUGGCGCACGGGUGCGUAACGCGUGGGAACCUGCCCUUAGGUUCGGAAUAACUCUCCGUAAGGGGCGCUAAUACCGGAUAAUGUCUUCAGACCAAAGAUUUUUCGCUUUUGAUGGGGCCGGCGUUGCCUUAGCUAGUUGGUAGGGUAGAAGCCUACCAAGGCUUCGAUCCAUAGCUGGUUUGAGACGAUGAUCGGCCACGCUGGGACUGGGACACGGCCCAGACUCCGACGGGAGGCGGCAGUGGGGAAUGUUGGACGAUGAGCGAGAACCUGAUACAGCAGUGCCGCGUGAGUCAUGAAGUCCUGAGGGUAAUGAAGCGGUUUUACCCGGGGUGGUAGUGACGGUACCGGGAGAAUAAGCUCCGGCUAACUACGUG
This 433-nucleotide ribosomal RNA is filed under the name uncultured bacterium. RNAcentral's name for it is "partial 16S ribosomal RNA". It matches the Rfam family "Bacterial small subunit ribosomal RNA", at positions 29 to 507 of the family's 1533-position model. The record is from RNAcentral.